Dermacentor silvarum is the source of this 82-nucleotide non-coding RNA. NCBI's taxonomy places the organism in Eukaryota, Metazoa, Arthropoda, Arachnida, Ixodida, Ixodidae. The record is from the annotation of a RefSeq genome assembly.
AAAGAGGGGGCCGAGUGGUUAAGGCGAUGGACUGAUAAUCCAUUGGGCUCUGCCCGCGUGGGUUCGAAUCACACCCUCGUCG